GAGAAAUUAAAAAAAUCGAAUCAUAGGGGGGUAUUUUGCUAUUAAAAUAAAAAAAUAAUAUUAAACUCGAUCGUCGAAUUUCUUAUUACGAUACAGUGUGGUGCACGCGGAAGAUAUAGGAAGUCAUUACUAUCAAACGCUCCGAUGCUGGAGGGAAAACUUUCUCCGAAACCAACGUAAAAUCAUGGCUCUCGGUUUCGAUGAGAAGUUCAUACGAACGUGGGAAUAUUAUUUUAGCUACACUGCUGCUGGUUUUAAAAUGUCUAUUAUGGGAAAUUAUCAGAUCGUAUUCACUCGACCUGGAGAUGUUGCGGCAUUCGGCAAUGAUCCACUAAAUUCUUCCUAGUAACCAAAAUAUAUAUAUAUAUAUA
Molecule: non-coding RNA, 371 nt
Organism: Erythranthe guttata (spotted monkey flower)
Lineage: Eukaryota; Viridiplantae; Streptophyta; Magnoliopsida; Lamiales; Phrymaceae
Source: RefSeq, a predicted model, not a curated record